This 388-nucleotide ribosomal RNA is filed under the name uncultured bacterium. RNAcentral describes it as "bacterial SSU rRNA". It matches the Rfam family "Bacterial small subunit ribosomal RNA", at positions 28 to 420 of the family's 1533-position model. The record is from RNAcentral.
GACGAACGCUGGCGGCGUGCUUAACACAUGCAAGUCGAGCGGAAAGGCCCUUCGGGGUACUCGAGCGGCGAACGGGUGAGUAACACGUGAGUAACCUGCCCUGGACUUUGGGAUAACCCUCGGAAACGGGGGCUAAUACCGAAUACGACUUGGUCUCGCAUGGGACUGGGUGGUAAAGUUUUUCGGUCUGGGGUGGGCUCGCGGCCUAUCAGCUUGUUGGUGGGGUGAUGGCCUACCAAGGCGACGACGGGUAGCCGGCCUGAGAGGGCGACCGGCCACACUGGGACUGAGACACGGCCCAGACUCCUACGGGAGGCAGCAGUGGGGAAUAUUGCACAAUGGGCGGAAGCCUGAUGCAGCGACGCCGCGUGAGGGAUGACGGCCUUGG